AUUUUUUAGACAAAAAACUCAAUCCAUAAAAUCAGCAAAAUCUCAAAGUACUUCAGCAAAUCUCAAAAGAUCUCUAUUAACUCUUGCGCCUCUGCUCGAAGUACUUCAACCGCACUCGGAUUUGCUCCUCCUUCAUUAUUAGUCGUGUU
Molecule: long non-coding RNA, 149 nt
Organism: Juglans microcarpa x Juglans regia
Lineage: Eukaryota; Viridiplantae; Streptophyta; Magnoliopsida; Fagales; Juglandaceae
Exons: 3
Source: RefSeq, a predicted model, not a curated record